CAAAUAAAUGUCGAUUUUUAGUUAAGAUUGAUUUUGUCUUUAAUAAUUGGCGUUGAUUAGGUAAUUUUAUAUAUAAGUUUUUGCAAGUUAUUAGAUUGUCUAAAUGAUAAUUUUUGUUUUAUUUGUAGUUUUUUAUAUU
Molecule: ribosomal RNA, 139 nt
Filed under: Clavigralla pusilla
Lineage: Eukaryota; Metazoa; Arthropoda; Insecta; Hemiptera; Coreidae
Description: partial small subunit ribosomal RNA
Source: RNAcentral